RNAcentral lists this ribosomal RNA (498 nucleotides) under uncultured bacterium. RNAcentral describes it as "partial 16S ribosomal RNA". It matches the Rfam family "Bacterial small subunit ribosomal RNA", at positions 29 to 523 of the family's 1533-position model. The record is from RNAcentral.
AUUGAACGCUGGCGGCAUGCUUUACACAUGCAAGUCGAACGGUAACAGGCCGCAAGGUGCUGACGAGUGGCGAACGGGUGAGUAAUGCAUCGGAACGUGCCCAGUCGUGGGGGAUAACGCAGCGGAAGCUGUGCUAAUACCGCAUACGAUCUAUGGAUGAAAGCGGGGGACCGUAAGGCCUCGCGCGAUUGGAGCGGCCGAUGUCAGAUUAGCUAGCUGGUGGGGUAAAGGCCCACCAAGGCGACGAUCUGUAGCUGGUCUGAGAGGACGACCAGCCACACUGGGACUGAGACACGGCCCAGACUCCUACGGGAGGCAGCAGUGGGGAAGUUUGGACAAUGGGCGCAAGCCUGAUCCAGCAAUGCCGCGUGCAGGAAGAAGGCCUUCGGGUUGUAAACUGCUUUUGUACGGAACGAAACGGCCUGGGUUAAUACCCUGGGCUAAUGACGGUACCGUAAGAAUAAGCACCGGCUAACUACGUGCCAGCCGCCGCCGUAA